CCUACGGGGCGCUGCAGUGAGGAAUAUUGGUCAAUGGGCGAGAGCCUGAACCAGCCAAGUCGCGUGAAGGAUGAAGGAUCUAUGGUUUGUAAACUUCUUUUAUAUGGGAAUAAAGUGAGGAACGUGUUCCUUUUUGUAUGUACCAUAUGAAUAAGCAUCGGCUAACUCCGUGCCAGCAGCCGCGGUAAUACGGAGGAUGCGAGCGUUAUCCGGAUUUAUUGGGUUUAAAGGGUGCGUAGGUGGUUAAUUAAGUCAGCGGUGAAAGUUUGUGGCUCAACCAUAAAAUUGCCGUUGAAACUGGUUGACUUGCGUAUAUUUGAGUUCGGCGGUCUGCGUGGUGUAGCGGUUAUAUGCAUAGAUAUCACGCAGAACUCCGAUUGCGACGGCAGCUUACUAAACUAUACCUGCCACUGACUCACGAAAGCGUGGGGAUCAAACAGGAUUAGAUACCCCAGUAGUC
Molecule: ribosomal RNA, 460 nt
Filed under: uncultured bacterium
Lineage: Bacteria
Description: partial 16S ribosomal RNA
Rfam family: Bacterial small subunit ribosomal RNA
Source: RNAcentral